UACGUAGGGUGCGAGCGUUAAUCGGAAUUACUGGGCGUAAAGCGAGCGCAGACGGUUACUUAAGCAGGAUGUGAAAUCCCCGGGCUCAACCUGGGAACUGCGUUCUGAACUGGGUGACUAGAGUGUGUCAGAGGGAGGUAGAAUUCCACGUGUAGCAGUGAAAUGCGUAGAGAUGUGGAGGAAUACCGAUGGCGAAGGCAGCCUCCUGGGAUAACACUGACGUUCAUGCUCGAAAGCGUGG
RNAcentral lists this ribosomal RNA (241 nucleotides) under uncultured Neisseriales bacterium. RNAcentral describes it as "partial 16S ribosomal RNA". It matches the Rfam family "Bacterial small subunit ribosomal RNA", at positions 524 to 764 of the family's 1533-position model. The record is from RNAcentral. Lineage: Bacteria; Pseudomonadati; Pseudomonadota; Betaproteobacteria; Neisseriales.